RNAcentral lists this ribosomal RNA (114 nucleotides) under Nitrosomonadales bacterium. Lineage: Bacteria; Pseudomonadati; Pseudomonadota; Betaproteobacteria; Nitrosomonadales. The record is from RNAcentral.
UCUGACGACCAUAGCAAGUUGGUCCCACUCCUUCCCAUCUCGAACAGGACAGUGAAACGACUUUCGCGCCGAUGAUAGUGUACAUCCGUAGGUGAAAGUAGGUCAUCGUCAGAU